UACUACCGAAGCUACGGCAUCAGUAAUGAUGGGUAGGGGAGCUUCCCAUACGGGUUGAAGCAUGACCGUAAGGACAUGUGGACAGGAUGGGAGUGAGAAUGUUGGCAUGAGUAGCGAGAUGUGGGUGAGAAUCCCACAGGCCGUAAACCCAAGGUUUCCAGGGGAAGGUUCGUCCGCCCUGGGUUAGUCGGGACCUAAGCUGAGGCCGAAAGGCGUAGGUGAUGGACAACAGGUUGAUAUUCCUGUACUACCGAU
RNAcentral lists this ribosomal RNA (255 nucleotides) under Clostridioides difficile. RNAcentral's name for it is "partial 23S ribosomal RNA". It matches the Rfam family "Bacterial large subunit ribosomal RNA", at positions 1189 to 1451 of the family's 2925-position model. Lineage: Bacteria; Bacillati; Bacillota; Clostridia; Peptostreptococcales; Peptostreptococcaceae. The record is from RNAcentral.